Etheostoma cragini (Arkansas darter) is the source of this 357-nucleotide long non-coding RNA. RefSeq lists it as uncharacterized. The transcript has 4 exons. Lineage: Eukaryota; Metazoa; Chordata; Actinopteri; Perciformes; Percidae. The record is from RefSeq and is a predicted model, not a curated record.
GCAUUUGUAAAGGCGCCGACACACCACCCCGAUCAUCGUCUGUCAGACAAUCUGGCGAGGUCAGUGACUCGUGUCUGUUCGGUGUGUUCCGUCCCGUCGUCAGUCCGGGGGCUGUCAGCGUUCAUUUAGGCCGAUUUGACUUGUUGGAUUGGCCAGUGGGCAGUCGGACUCAACGGCCAAACUGAUUGGUGGAGUGCUAGCCCUUCACUAUCGAAUCAAUGAUGGUGAGAAAACCGGACCUUACAACGCCAGUAUCGUCUUAUUACUAGCACUCGUAUUUUCUUCCGUUCAGCGAGUAAUGAAAACAUCGAUCCUUCUUGACUACUGUAAACACUUUCUGAUUAAAACAAUGAUUGA